GGUUGUGGCUCAGUGGCAGAGUGCUCGCCUAGCAUAUGUGAGGCCCUGGGUUCAAUCCUCAGCACCA
RNAcentral lists this transfer RNA (67 nucleotides) under Marmota monax (woodchuck). Its description in RNAcentral is "tRNA.Ala". The record is from RNAcentral. Lineage: Eukaryota; Metazoa; Chordata; Mammalia; Rodentia; Sciuridae.